UUUAGUUCCUCCUUGGCAACACUAAACACCUGAUGUUAAAAUUAGCACCUCAUGAUGAAAUUACAUGGGAAAAAGUGUCCCCGUUAUUAGUUUUAUAUUUACAUAGGUAAGUUUUGAUCGAUCGUCGUCUGUCUUCUCCAUCGGGUAGCAUGUAAUUAAGAUGCUGGAGGGCGAGGAAUUUGCUGGCCUGCGCGCACGUUGCGAUCAUGGAGAAGGACGGCGGCGGCGGGCGCGGGCUGCCGGCGGCGAUGGUGGACGGCGGCGGGCGGGAGAUGGACUCCCCGCGGUUCCGCGCGAUCCUGCGCGCCACCAGCGGGCGCCGGAAGCGCGCACCCGAGGUGAAGAGUUUCUCGCACGAGCUGAGCUCGAGGGGCGGCGGCGGCGGCGUGCCGGCGAUGCGCAAGAUGGUGCGCGGCGGCGGGCUCGGCAGCACCACCCCGGAGGAGUUCAUCGGCGCCAUCCGGACCAAGUUCAUCCGCCUCAAGGAGGAGGUGGACAGCGAGCUGGGCGUCUUCGCGGGGGACCUCGUCGACAUGCUGGCGCGGUCGGGCGACCACCGGGACGACUGUCGCGUCGCGCUGGAGGACCUGCUGGUGGUGGCACAGCGGUGCGCGGAGAUGAGCCCCGAGGAGCUGUGGACCCGCUGCGAGGGCGUAGUGCAGGGCCUCGACGACCGCCGGCAGGACCUCCCCGCAGGCCUCCCGAAGCAGGCGCACACGCGCAUCCUCUUCAUCCUCACGCGCUUCACCCGCCUCCUGCAGUUCCGCAAGGGCGCCGCCGCGGGGUGCCGCUACGCCGCCGACGCCGACGACGACGACAGGCACAACGUGCUCGGCCUGCACAACCUCAGCGACCUCGGCCUCUACCCGAUCCACGUCGACGGCGGGGAUCUCGGCCCCAAGAGCACCUCCAGCCUCACCGAGCUCAAGGAGCGCCUCAUCAGGCGGCGAAUGUUGGAGCACAGGCAGCUCACCGUCGACUUCUCCCCGGCUAGGAUCUUUUCGCCGUUCGGGGACGGGUCGGCCGUUGACGGCCACUCCCCGAGCAGCAAGAUGGCGUCGUGGAAGAAGCUCCCUUCCCCCGCCGAGAAGAACAAGACCGCCGCCGCCGCCGGGGAUGCCACGGCCGCCGCCGCCAAGGGAGACGACAGCCCGUCGAAGAAGAAGCCCAUCACCCGGCACGGCAAGGCGACGGUGGACGAGAUCGUGGAGCGCGUGGACGCGGCGAGCAUCCACAUCCGCCCGGAUGGGCUGGCGUGCUUGGGCGGCGACGAGGCCAUUAGCCUGGAGAUCCCGUCCCGGUACCCGGAGGCGCAGCAGAUCAUGGUGGACGGGAAGCCCCGGAUGAUCUGCCGCAUCUGCGACUUCGAGAUCCCCAUGGCGUGCGCCGAGGGCCACUUCGUGGUGUGCACGCUCGCCGAUCGCUGCGACGCCAAAGGGCACAGCGCGGACCAGCGGCUACUGCGCGUGGCCGAGGUGCUCGACCGCGUGCUCGCGUGCUUCGGCCCCCUCGGCGGCGGGAGGGCGAGCACGUCGUCCGAGUCGGACUCCAACGCCGCCGACCACGAAGCCCUGUCCCACCUGCUGACCGUGCCGUCCACGGAGCUCUUCUCGGAGGGCGCGCUGACGCCGGCGUCGGGGAGCCUGCCGCAGUCGCCGCUGCUGACGCCGCGGACGAGCCACGCGGAGUCGCAGCUGACCAAGCACAGGGCGUUCGCGGAUCUGGAGAGCUCCCAGCAGAUCGAGAGCCUUGUCGCCAUCGCCCGUGGCGUGGAGGGCGUGAAGAGCUCCGAGUACAACUCGCUGGAGGACCUCAGCUCGUACCUGGAGGACCUGAACGCCGUGAUCGACACGCGCAAGGUGGACGCCCUCGUCGUGGAGACGUUCGGGCGGAGGAUCGCCAAGCUCCUGCAGGAGAAGUUCAUGCAGCUGUGCGUGCAGAUCGACGACACGGGCGGCGCGGCGGAGCAGCAGCAGCUGCUGCUGCAGCACCUGCACCCGAUCGACGAGGAGGGCCCGACUACGACGGAGAGCGGCGGCGGGACGACGGCGAGCUCGCGGGCGACGCUGAGCGGCAACAGGUUCAAGGACCGCACGUCCAUCGAGGACUUCGAGAUCAUCAAGCCCAUCAGCCGCGGCGCCUUCGGCCGCGUGUUCCUGGCCAAGAAGAGGGUGACCGGCGACCUGUUCGCCAUCAAGGUGCUCCGGAAGGCGGACAUGAUCCGGAAGAACGCGGUGGAGAGCAUCCUGGCGGAGCGCGACAUCCUCAUCUCCGCGCGCAACCCCUUCGUGGUCCGCUUCUUCUACUCCUUCACGUGCAGGGAGAACCUGUACCUGGUCAUGGAGUACCUCAACGGGGGAGACCUCUACUCCCUGCUCAGGAACCUCGGCUGCCUCGACGAGGACAUGGCCAGGACAUACAUCGCCGAGCUCGUUCUUGCGCUGGAGUACCUGCACUCCAUGAACGUGAUCCACCGCGACCUGAAGCCUGACAACCUGUUGAUCUCUCGCGACGGCCACAUCAAGCUGACCGAUUUCGGGCUCUCCAAAGUGGGCCUGAUCAACAGCACGGACGACCUGUCGGGCCCGGACGUGAGCUGCGCCCUCGUCGGCGAGCACCAGCCGGCGGACGCGGAGCAGCGGGAGCAGAAGCGGCGGCAGCGGCAGAAGCAGGCGGCGGUGGGCACGCCGGACUACCUGGCGCCGGAGAUCCUGCUGGGCAUGGCCCACGGCCCGACUGCGGAUUGGUGGUCGGUUGGCGUCAUCCUGUUCGAGCUGCUGGUGGGGAUUCCUCCCUUCAACGCUGAGCACCCGCAGAUAAUAUUCGACAACAUAAUGAACCGAGAGAUACCCUGGCCACAUGUGCCAGAGGAGCUGAGCUCUGAAGCCUACGAUUUGAUCGACAGGUUGCUGAUGGAGAACCCGGUGCAGAGAUUGGGCGCGACAGGUGCCGGAGAGAGCAGGUGAAGGCUCAUCCGUUCUUCAAGGACAUCAACUGGGACAUGCUUGCCAGGCAGAAGGUCGCGUUCAUCCCUUCCACAGACGACGAGUACGACACGAGCUACUUCGCCUGCCGCCACGCCUGGAGCGGCGCCGGCGAGCAUGGCGGCGCGGCCGGCAGCGACUACGACGACCGGAGCGAGGCCAGCAGCAUGAGCUGCGGCAGCAGUCCGCGCAGUGACUACGAGGAAGAUGGCGAUGAGUGUGGCAGCAUGGAAGAAUUCGGAGCGCCCUUAUCGGUGAAAUACUCUUUCAGCAACUUCUCGUUCAAGAACAUCUCUCAGCUGGCAUCCAUGAACUACGACCUGAUGACGAAGCAUAACAACCUGGAUCCGUUGCAGUCCUCCAGAUGAUUGCGUCAUCGUGUGGCAAUGAAGGGUAGCCAAAGCAAAAUGCUAGUAAAUGUAGCUUGCGCUGAGACCAUGCAUCAUCGAUCAGAAGAUAGGAGGAGGAUGGUAUUGGUAUCCCCUGAUGUAAUCUCUGACAACUAGCUAGCUGCAGAUACAUAGUGCAUUAUAAACCUUCGAUUCUUCAUAGAAAGAAAAGAUGGUGAAUCUCUUUCUUUCUUUCUUGUUUAAGAGAAAUGGUUCACAAAUUGGUAUAAUGGUAAUCUAAACUUAGCCAUA
RNA transcript from Zea mays, 3625 nucleotides. It is a transcript of the gene named probable serine/threonine protein kinase IRE, with no coding region annotated. The transcript is spliced from 12 exons. The record is from RefSeq and is a predicted model, not a curated record. NCBI's taxonomy places the organism in Eukaryota, Viridiplantae, Streptophyta, Magnoliopsida, Poales, Poaceae.